AUCCAACUGACGUGUCCCGAAUAGGACGAAAUGCGCGUCCUGGAU
Molecule: non-coding RNA, 45 nt
Filed under: Schistosoma mansoni
Lineage: Eukaryota; Metazoa; Platyhelminthes; Trematoda; Strigeidida; Schistosomatidae
Source: RNAcentral